Molecule: ribosomal RNA, 262 nt
Filed under: uncultured bacterium
Lineage: Bacteria
Description: partial 16S ribosomal RNA
Rfam family: Bacterial small subunit ribosomal RNA
Source: RNAcentral
UUAGUGGCGGACGGGUGAGUAACGCGUGGAUAACCUGCCGUAUACAGGGGGAUAACACUUAGAAAUAGGUGCUAAUACCGCAUAAGCGCACGGUUCCGCAUGGAACAGUGUGAAAAACUCCGGUGGUAUACGAUGGAUCCGCGUCUGAUUAGCCAGUUGGCGGGGUAACGGCCCACCAAAGCGACGAUCAGUAGCCGGCCUGAGAGGGUGAACGGCCACAUUGGGACUGAGACACGGACCAAACUCCUACGGGAGGCAGCAG